UUGUGAUCUAGGAAAGUGGCGCCUGUGGUCCUGUAGCGAUCUUUAAAAGACCCCCCCCCCCCCUUUUCCGUUUUGGAGUGACUGGGCAGGCAUUGCGAAACACGAAGGGCUUCCGCGACGUCCCACCUGUGACGUCCUUUCCUUUUCUCAAAGUUUGUGUUGUCCGCUGACCCGCUCUGCGGCGGCAACCCGCGUCGGCUCCGAGGUGCUUCGAGGACUGCGCUUAUGUCGGCGCCAAGUACACGUUGCACAGUGCUGGCAUGCGAGGAUGCUCCGAGCUCGACCCAAUGAUAGCACGCCGUAGACGCACUGUCUCAAGCACAGACCACGAGGACAGCUUUGCCCUCCCUGCGUCCUCGUGUGCUGCCACCUCCUUUGUCUCGACAAUGACAAGUCGCGACCGCACAGCCGAGUUCAAGUCGGCUGCCAAGCUUAUGCAGGGAACCAUUGUUCUGUCGCCACACACCAC
Dermacentor silvarum is the source of this 469-nucleotide long non-coding RNA. RefSeq lists it as uncharacterized. Lineage: Eukaryota; Metazoa; Arthropoda; Arachnida; Ixodida; Ixodidae. The record is from RefSeq and is a predicted model, not a curated record. The transcript is spliced from 3 exons.